This 160-nucleotide ribosomal RNA is filed under the name Himantocladium giulianettii. RNAcentral describes it as "5.8S ribosomal RNA". The stretch from base 28 to 160 matches the Rfam family "5.8S ribosomal RNA", at positions 1 to 134 of the family's 154-position model. From Rfam's summary of the family: 5.8S ribosomal RNA (5.8S rRNA) is a component of the large subunit of the eukaryotic ribosome. It is transcribed by RNA polymerase I as part of the 45S precursor that also contains 18S and 28S rRNA. Functionally, it is thought that 5.8S rRNA may be involved in ribosome translocation. The record is from RNAcentral. Lineage: Eukaryota; Viridiplantae; Streptophyta; Bryopsida; Hypnales; Neckeraceae.
GCGAGUUGUGAAAACGUAAUCCAAAACAACUCUCAGCAACGGAUAUCUUGGCUCUUGCAACGAUGAAGAACGCAGCGAAAUGCGAUACGUAUUGUGAAUUGCAGAAUUCCGCGAAUCAUCGAGUCUUUGAACGCAAGUUGCGCCCGAGGCUUGUCCAAGG